GUUGGAGCUUACCCCAGGAGCAGUGAGGUAUCUGGACGGUUUCAAGCUGGAAGUGACAUGGUAAGAUCUGGAUCUUAAAGAACUGGAGGGUAAGUUUAUGGUGGGGGUAGCAGGCUGGAAGCAGAGAAGAGGCAAGGAGACUGUUGUCAAAACCCAGCAAAAAUGAUAGUUGCCUGGACUGGGGAGGGCGUUCCAGAGGCUAUGAAAACAUGGGGGCCAGACUCAGCCACUUCAAACUCACAGGUGGCUGGAGCAUCUCAUGGGACCGCCAUUCCAACAGACAUACUUUGGGAAACAUUCUAAAACCUUUCCUUUGGAAGAGUAGAAAAAUUUUAGGAAAAAAAAAAUAAA
Sapajus apella (tufted capuchin) is the source of this 351-nucleotide long non-coding RNA. RefSeq lists it as uncharacterized. The transcript is spliced from 3 exons. The record is from RefSeq and is a predicted model, not a curated record. NCBI's taxonomy places the organism in Eukaryota, Metazoa, Chordata, Mammalia, Primates, Cebidae.